Molecule: long non-coding RNA, 344 nt
Organism: Neofelis nebulosa (Clouded leopard)
Lineage: Eukaryota; Metazoa; Chordata; Mammalia; Carnivora; Felidae
Exons: 3
Source: RefSeq, a predicted model, not a curated record
AAGCCCCGAACUUCCUUGACGGAGGCCGGGCGCUAGGGCACGAGUCUCAGCCCACAAAAGGCGUGCACGGGCUUCUCUAGGCCUCAGUCUCUAUGGUAGGACCCAGAGCCUGUGCCGCCAUCUUUUUUGGGGGCAACUUUAAAUUACAACACAGGUAGGAAAGUGAUUCAGGCGCUGCGAGAUGACGCCAACAUAUUCGUGCCACCUGGUUUCACCGCUCAGCUUAGUUCUUGGGUGGAAAGUGAAACAGCAAAUAAGACAAUCAAUUGAGAUAAGGAUUGGGAAGGAGUUGUUGGAGGUUUGAGGAGAGAGAAGAUAUGGAAUAACCAUUUAAGAUGGCAUUC